ACGGAAGGCAGCAGUGGGGAAUAUUGCACAAUGGGGGAAACCCUGAUGCAGCGACGCCGCGUGAGUGAAGAAGUUAUUCGUAAUGUAAAGCUCUAUCAGCAGGGAAGAAAAUGACGGUACCUGACUAAGAAGCCCCGGCUAACUACGUGCCAGCAGCCGCGGUAAUACGUAGGGGGCAAGCGUUAUCUGGAUUUACUGGGUGUAAAGGGAGCGUAGACGGUCUGGCAAGUCUGAUGUGAAAGGCAGGGGCUCAACUCCUGGACUGCAUUGGAAACUGUUAGUCUUGAGUGUCGGAGAGGUAAGCGGAAUUCCUAGUGUAGCGGUGAAAUGCGUAGAUAUCAGGAGGAACACCGGUGGCGAAGGCGGCUUACUGGGCUUUUACUGACGCUGAGGCUCGAAAGCGUGGGGAGCAAACAGGAUUAGAUACCCUGGUA
RNAcentral lists this ribosomal RNA (434 nucleotides) under uncultured Blautia sp. RNAcentral's name for it is "partial 16S ribosomal RNA". It matches the Rfam family "Bacterial small subunit ribosomal RNA", at positions 341 to 792 of the family's 1533-position model. The record is from RNAcentral. Lineage: Bacteria; Bacillati; Bacillota; Clostridia; Lachnospirales; Lachnospiraceae.